Long non-coding RNA from Pyrgilauda ruficollis (rufous-necked snowfinch), 12944 nucleotides. RefSeq lists it as uncharacterized. The record is from RefSeq and is a predicted model, not a curated record. Lineage: Eukaryota; Metazoa; Chordata; Aves; Passeriformes; Passeridae. The transcript has 6 exons.
CCGCCGCCGCCCCUCGGAAAAUAAUAAACAAUCGAGUAAAAUGCGGCGCGGGGCGGGGGUCCGGGCGGGCUCCGCGCCCCUCGCGCCGGGCGCUGCCUGCAGCCCUGCCGCCAGAAAAGCCUUUCCUGAAGGUGCCGUGGCGCUCGCACGGAAAUUGCCUUCAGCCAGAAGCUACUGCUGCACCGAGGACCAAGCAAAGCCAUCUCUCGGCUUUCCCCGAUCCCCUUGUCUCAAAGCUAAGUUGUGCCAGGCUGCAGGUGCCCUACAGAUGUGGGUUCGAGGCGGUGGAGAGCUGUGUGCGGUGGGACGGGAAGGGACUGGGUGGGUACGUGUCUGGCAGCCAGGUGUGCCAUUCCAGUGUGCCAAAUGCCUAGAGGCAGGGCACCGACAGGGAGACCUGUAAGCCACACCUCUGAAACAAUGUCAGUGUCGGCUGUCUUCACGGGACAAAAACGUCCCCGAGGUGACCGUCCUGUCCGCAUGGUGCUGGGCAGAGAUGCAUCCUCAAUCCUUGCUUCGUUGUGGUGGUGCCUACACAGCACAGCCCCAAAAUAACUACCUCUCACAGCCCUGCUUCCCUCUACCUGCAAACAGAAGGCGCGCUUGUACAGCAGGGGAUUUAAUCGGGGAUCAGGUGACGAGAAUGACGGCUGCGGGAAAGGAUUUACUUUUUGUCGGGCUCGCAGCCUGGCCUCUCCUUUUGACAGCAGGUGCCCAAUACGGCCUAUUUCGCUUCCUCCAAAGAAUUAAUUAUUUUCUCCCGUACGUGGCCCCUGGAGGAAGAAGUCUAAGCACCUCCCUCAUGCUGUCAUCCUGUAUUUCCAGUGAUCAGAGCACUUGUUCAGGAGCUGAAGAUGUGGCUCCUGGUCCUCUUCCCAGGACUUUGUGUUUUCUUCUCUGACAGAUGUUUGAUGUAAAGUACAUAGAGCACACUUUCAAAAGGGGACUGAAAUCCAAGGCUGCUCCCCUCCCUUCCCUAUGGCAAUGUUAUUAUUGCUGGGUCAUGGCCUCUCCUUGAUUGCUCCCGUGAAUCCCGAAGCCCCACCCUCUCCCCCAAGCAGCAAUACGGGUUCAACAGGCUGGUUGGAAAUGGAGUGCGUGUCAGGCUAGCCUGCGUCCCUGGUAAAAUACUCUUCGGGAAGGUCAGAGCCAGGCAUCUGAACCCCGGCGGGCAGAAGGAGAAAAUGACCUCGUGUUCCUGGUGUGAGGGGCACUGCAAGGCACACAGGGGGAAGGAAAUCUCCCCCGGGGAGUUGAGGAAGGGUUCAAAGGGGCCGGUGAAGUGUUAAGCAAAAGCAGUCAGCGGCUUAGCACAUGGUGGAGAAGUCGACUAUAAGCAUUUGCAGCUGGUUCUCUCUCUCCUGCCUCGGAGGAACUGGGUAACUGCUGACUCAGGGGCUGCAUCGAGUCGGAGGAAUGGGAAGGGGCUCAUGUUUCCCGAGUGCCUGUAUGCGCCGCAGAGCGAUGGGAUAGCGCCGGGCACCUCCUACCUGCUGUCCCGUCUUGGAAAAGCGAUGCCAGCAGCGUGCUCUAAGAAGCCAGAGCCUGUUGGUAUGUGUUGGAUGUGCUCUGAGCAGGCUGCGCAGCCGGGGCCGUGGGUCUCGUCUUGCAUGGAAACGUGUCCGAGCCACGAAUUCCAGCGCUGGGUCCGGGGGAAAAUUGGCACAGAGCUGCCCAACAUGGGGUGGUUGUGUGUAUGUGAAAGGCAGAAUAUCCUGUAUCGUGAGAUGCUGACAACCUAAAAAUAGGACUUUAUUGCCUCCAGGAUUAGGCAUCUAAUUAGGAGCAGGGAAUUUUGGGAGGACAGUUCUGAACUUUAAUGCCUCGGUUCUGCCCCAGUACUGUUCUGCUGUUCAAGACUUUACAUUCCUUGCAGUUCAUGUGAGCGUCACUCAAACAUGCCCAGGGCGUGCAGUUAUAGCAACUGCCCUGAAAAAUCUUCCUGGAAUCUGAAAAGUUGAAUUCUUCCGUUUGCACACACCCUUGCCUGCCUUGCAAAAUAAUUUCCUUCAGUUUAGCAAACCAAAACUUCAACUGAAGUAAUUCACUGCCAGUUUACCUAUGGAGAGGCAAUGACAGCAAGAGUGAGACCUAAUAUUUUGUUCGUUUUUAAAUUUUUUUUUUUUUUGGGUACCAUUUCAGUGAGCCCAUCUAAUUGAAUACAUGCUAAUCUGCUAAAGAGCUUGCUGCUUCUAAAUACUGUAGCUACUCUUCAUAAUAGGCAUAUCUAGUUUAAAAUAUAAAUAGAGGUAUUAUAAACCUUGUUUAGCCAAAAUGGACUUUUUUCCUUGGAAGUAAACAGGGAAAACUGGGGGAGGAACUCUAGCUGAGGUCUGACAGAUGUUCAAGUAUGUGAAGCUUAAAGAAGAACGUGUGCUAUUCAGUUUGCUCACGGAGCCUUUGUGACCUGUGUCUUCGCAGUAAUGAUGACACAAGCUUUUUUGAAUAAAAGGAAGAAAUUAACUGCCGUGGCUAAUUGCACCCUUGCUAGCUUGCUAACCAAGGACACCAUUUGACUGUGAAAAUUGUUGGUGUACCCAAAUCUCUCAGCUGGAGAGAAUAUCCAAAGUGAGAGUGUUCCCAUGUCUGUGGGUUAGAAGGGCUAUUUAAAAAACUUCCUUUAAUUGGAAAAUUAAACACUAUUGCUUUAAAACAGUGGUGCACUGCUUUAAAAAAUUAAGAUCAUAUGGAAUCAUUUAUUGUUUUUCAAUAUGUAUUCAGUCUCUGGUGCAAUUUUAUGUCCUCGCUAAUGGAUAAAGUCUUUUGGAGCAGGAAUAAAGCACCACAAAGCAUGAUUUAAUGCUGUAGGGUCACCAGAUCUGUUUCACAUUACUGGAUGUUUCAAUCUGCUGAAAAGAAGGGGCUGUCCCUGAACCAACGAAACAAUGAUGGGGAAGUGGGGGGGAAGCCCAUCAAUCUGAAACACUUUGGAAACAUAGUGCACAUAUCAAGAAAAACUUUUAAAGGAUUCAGUGGGGAUUUGGCUGCAUAAGAGAUUAAAAUUAUGUAAAUUUAUAUUAAGAACAGGAAAGUUAAAGUAUUAAUAGUACAAUAUUUGGUUGCAGUUUAAGGUGUCUUAAUAAAUCAUGUUUUCAAACAGUACAGGCCUACAUAAGCAUGUGACUGUAAGAGAAAAUAAGAGCAAGUAAUCCGGGAGUGCACAAAAAACAAAAGUGCUUUUGUUUUUAGUUCUGUGGUCACUGGAAGUGCCUAUUCUUGUGCUUAUUCACAAACACCUCUGGCUCCUUCUUCCAGAAAUCCUAUCCAAACGUUUUUGUUCUGACUUCGUUAGAGGACUUUGUGCUUCGGUUCUUUUCAUAUGACUUGUUCAGGGUUCAGUCUUACAAUGCCUUUCCUCUGGCAAGGGACUGAGAUGGGUCCGAUGCCUUCGCUGCCUUCUUUUUUUGGUUGUUUGUUGUUUGUUUUUUUUUUGCCUUUUGCCUUCUUUUUCCCCCCCAGAAUGACAAGCUGUGGGGCAAUUUUUGCUCUCAGGGCCUGGGCAUUUCCCUUUCACUGGUUCAGCAGGGAUCAACAAGAAGAGGCCAAGUCUGACAAGUAAACCAUGCAUGGUUUGAGCCACCUGGCAAUGAACUCUGCAGGCAUGGGAGGCAACCUUUCUGUUUUUAUCGUGAACCUCAGAGAAGUAUAACUGGCUGGCUAGUUAUAAUUUGACAGAAACCCCACUUUUCAUCUUGCUGUGGUGGUAUGCUUUCUUUUAAAUGUCAUCUGUAGAGUCUCCCAGUGAAUGGGAACUUCAGUUUUGCUUUGUAUUUCCUACAGAUACUGACAAAAACUAGUCCACCACAUUACUGAAUAAGAGCCGUAUUUCUUCUUAGAGGCCUAAGCACACUAAAAAGAGUUUGCAGUAACUUUAAUACUUCAAUCAAAAUAUUUUUCACUACAUAUUUGUCAUUUAUAACCAAUAGAAUAAUUGACUGGGUUUUUUAUUAAUUUUGAAAUCUUAUAUUUCCAGCUUUAUUAAGCAAGUAAAUUAAUCUUCAGCUUUCCUGUAGCACUGGAGCUUGUUCAUCAUGGCUGUGCCUUCCAUCAUUCUUUGGUAAUAGAUAGUAGUAAUUUCAACAGUGGCAAUGGGGACUGUUCUACUUGCAGGAAUGUUGGGACUAAUCAUGUGAGAAAAGAUCCUGGAGUGAUGAGGCAGCAUAUUUCCCAUGUCUGAGGUCAGGAUUUGUUCUGUGAAGCUGACCUUUAAAACAGCCUGAAAAUGAGGAACGUGGCACCAGAGAGCAGAGCAGGAAGCCUGAAAUUAUAGUCCUAAGGGAGAAGCAAAUGGAUAUAAGCACGUACUGUAUUUGUGAGACCAGCACUGGGAUGGCCUGCAUGUUAUAAAUUGAUGUUGAAAAAUGGGCUGUGGAACAUUAGAGCCACACAAAAUGAUUCAGAGCCUGAAGAAAAUGCUUUGCAAUGGGAGACAUGAAGCACUUUGUCUCUUUAGUUUAUCAAAAAAGGCUGAGCAGAGAAUUGAUUAUGAUGGUGAAGGAACUUCCUUGGAAGAAAAAUAUCAGUACUUCACAGACAUUUUUGAGUUGGACGGUGCCUCUGGAGAUCAUCCAGUCUGAGCCCUCUGCCAAAGCAGGGUCACCUAGAGCGGGUGACACAGGAACGUAUCCAGGUGGUUCGGAGUCUCUCCAGAGAAGGGCUCUCCACAACCUCCACGGGCAGCCUGUUCCAGUAACAUAAGGAAGUUUUACCUCAUGUUGAGAGCCUAAGAAGAACCUUCGGAAACUGCAAUACAGGGGAUCGGUGGGAAGUGAGGCACUGGAAUAACUGCUGCCAGCCUGCUGCCAGAAGGGUGAUGAGCUGCUUUUCCAAGGCCAGCAAUGAACACCAAAAGAUAUUAAACCCUCCCACAGCACAGAUGAAAGAGCUGGAGACUGGGGGUAUGGAAAGGAGGUCAGAGCAGCUUCUUAAGAAGAAACAUUACUGGACUUGCAGCUGCAUCUGGGUGUCCCACCAAAGCUGGGGAUGAUGGGCUGUGCGAGGGGAUUUCAGGGGCUUGUCUGUGCUGCUGAAAAGGUGGAAAAGGGGAAGUUCCAAGCACCAACACUUCCCUCAGACUUAGGCUUGUCUCCUGGUUUGUGGCAGGCUUUUGGCUGUACUGCCAGCUGUUCUGCCCCAAAAGAAGAGUUUCAGCUGUCCACUGCAGGCUGUUUGGAGGGGAAGGGAUUGGCAGGCAAUGCUCAAAUACAGCAGUCCUGUUUAAAUGCCAACACAGGGAGUAGAGCGGGCAAGACAGGCAGGGGGUGCCAGCCCAGUCACAGGGUGGUGAACAUGGCAGCAGCCCUCAUCUCCUAGACUUGUGCCCGGGGAGAAAUGUCAAAGCUGGAGUGGGUAGGGACACUGCUCCCUUACCUGGAAUGAUGUCUGGCUUUUUUUCCCCACCCCAGACAUCCUCUACUAGACCAGUCACUACCACUUUUCCUCACAAGCCUCAUCUCACUUGUAUUCCUUAGGCUGCCAUGACCGCAGCAUCACUGCAGUACCUUUGUGCAAGGGGCAGGUGGCCGUGGGAGAGGCCACAGGGAGAGAGCAAGCCCAGGUGCACCACAGGCUGGAGCUGUCUGCCCACCGAAACUGCCCAGGCGGCUGUGACUGAAAUUUAAUUUGCCUGGUGCAUUCCGUGGACAUUUUAAUCAGCAUUUCCUACAAUCUACUUGGCAAAGAGGCUCGAUUGGCAGCUGCCUGACUGAAUGGGCUUUGCACCCAGUCUAACCUUCUCCAUUCGCAAUUUCCAGUGCUGGAAAACCUCUCUGUCUCACUUUCAGAAGUUUCUAUAGCAAUCACAGCCAUCCUAGUGAAGCACUGGAAAUGGCAGCCCAUUCAGAUUGUAAUUUCGCUGGACAGUAAUUGCUCCUCUCUCCACUGGCCUCUGAAAUGUUACUUUUUGGGAGAUAUCAACUGCAACUGGAGGAGACUGGUCCUCUGCCUGUGUUUCCAACCAGCUUUGCUCCCCCUGUCCCCUGAGGAUCUUUGUUAGCUGUUUACAGUGUGUGAACCUUGAUUAGCAGGGAAGUGUUGCUGGCACAUCAUACCUUGGCUACAGGAAAGACCUGACGUGAGUGAUGCUCUUAACAGGCCUGCAGGAACAAACCUCACCACCCAACACAGCAUGCUGUGACCUGAACAUUAUCCAUCACUGCAUGUAGAAAAAGUUACACAAAUGUGUGUGCCUUUGCUAAUUGUAAAAGACCAGAGCACUCAAAGGUUUUUCCUUCAUGUCGGUGAGCUUACUUUUCCUAGAUUUGUUGACUUCAGCUUAAACACUCACUUGAUCUUUUGUUCCAUGCUUCAGUUUUCAGUGGCUGUGAUUGCUCUUAAUUACUGUGACACUGAAGAACCAUGCACUGAAAAUACAUUAAGUAACUUCUUGCAAUAAGAGAAUGUGGUAGAAUUAUCCCACAGCUUGUGAAGAAAUCAGUUAACCAUUUCUUAAGCUCUUGUAAUAAUCUUCCCCUAUACUUUUAUGGUUAUUGUUGCCUGCUGGAAAAAUUAGCUUAAAGCUGAGUAAGGGGAAUUGUGGAUAAGUGUUUGCAAUUUGGCUUUGGACUGACAUAGUGUGGUUGCACUCAGAGAAUUUGAAGUCUUUGCUCUGGCAGCAGUACUCAAAUCUGGAAAUAUAGGAUUCACAUUGGAAAAGAGUGGAUUUUUAUAACUAUUUAAAUGAACAAUUUCAGCUAGAGAGUGGAUUAACAGAGCCAACUAAACCCUUCACCCUGACAAAGAACUGGCGGGAGGACUAUAGAAACACAUCCAAAAUUUUACCAACAUGAAUGCAGAGUACUAGGUCAGUGAGAAGCAUUUCUGUAUUUUAAUGGCUCUCUUAGAAAUCAAUUCAAUUUAAAACAAAAGUUGUUUUACAAAUAUGUGGAGAAUGCAGAAGGCUGGAGAGGGAGCAAGUGGCCUGCAUCUUCCAUCUGCUCCAUCCUCCCUCUCCUCUCGCACUAGGAACUGCUACUGCAAGUCCCCCUUCUGGGCAGACAGAGAAAAAAGCAGGCAGCGUCCCAAACCCGAGGGUCAGAAGUGUCUCCCAUUCUGCAGGUGCAUGGGUGCACCCCCAGACCCCACACCCUGUAUUUUACAUGUGCCAGAGCUCCUGAGGCCCAAAGCCAAGCAGCAGGAAAGUCUAAGCCCAGAGGUCUUGGGGAAGCUGAGACAGAAACCUGUGCUUCUCCAUCAGAAAUGAGGUUACAAAACAAGAGAAUAUUAAGUAUCCCAGGAUGAGAAGCAAUCUUCACUGACAAGAAAUGGACAUGUUGGGGAUUGCUUAUCUGUGAGAGGAAAUGGAUCAAGAUGACACAAGAGAAGCAUCCACCGGACGAACAAAACUGCAAAGGCAGAUUGGCAAAACUUUGAAGAAUUUCAGAAGAGGCAGCAAAGCCUAGGGAAUUUUUUUUGAGCAAAAUUUCUAAUUAAACCCUGACAGCUUACUGCUGCAGGAUGUUUAAAGGGAAAACAGGAUCUUAAAUUGAUCUGGAGAAGGGUCCAGUGUUUCCAUGAGUGACAAGGCACAUCUUGAACAGUAAGAAUCCCAAAUUAUGGGGGGGAAAAAGCACUUUAAUUUGUCUCACCCUCAAGUUGUUGGAGGAAAGUGGUGGAAAAUAGGAUUCCAAACCCAAAAAUUAUGGCUGCUGGCAGCAGUAACUGAGGGAGACAAGUUUAAACUACUUCUGGAGGAGGACCUUUCUGACAAGCCAUGGAUAUUUCAACCAAAAAGCUGAACCAUGUGUAGGGCAAUGGCUACUGCUUGUGCAGGCAACCACAUGCCCAGAAACUGGCACUGCUGCCAGUCCAGGUUUGCCCCCUGGAUACAGAGAUCUAAGAAAAAGCAAUCACACCAAGUCAUGAAGACCAAAGGGCUGGAGCACCUCUCCUGUGGAGACAGGCUGACAGAGGUGAGAUUGUUCAGCCUGGAGAAGGCUCCAGGGAUACCUUACAGCACCUUCCAGUACCUAAAGGGCACUGCAAGAGACCUGGAGAGGGACUUUUUACAAGGGUAUGCAGUUACAGGACAAGGGGGAAAGGCUUUAAACUGAAAGAGGGAGGGCUUAGAGUGGCUAUUAGGAAUAAAUGCUUUACUGUGAGGGUGGUGAGGCACUGGAAUAGGUUUCCCAGAGCAGCUGUGGAUGCCCCAUUUCUGGCAGUGUUCCCAGACAGGCUGGAUAUGGCCUUGAGCAACCUGGUCUAGUGGGAGGUGUUCCUGCCCAUGGCAGGGGAGGUUGGGAUUAGAUGAUCUUAAAGGUCCAUUCCAACCCCUUAAUACUCUUAUUAUUCUAAUUAACAGUGGGUCUGUCUAUCCAGAACACAUAUCUAAAAUUAUCAUGAGUAAGUGACAAGUUUAUAAAAUCUGGAUUUAUUAAUUUUUCUUUAUUACAAGAUAAACUAUUCUCAAAUAACAGAUGGAUUUGACAGUGUUCAGUUUGUAAUAUACUAGAUUCAAAAUUAUGUAUUUAAAAAAAUAUUCUCUGUAUACAAGGAAAAUCCCAACAGAAUUUACAAAGCCACUGUAUUUCAAAUGUAUAGGAUCUGAGAUUGUUAUCCUCUUAUAGGAAAUUUGUUAUUACAAGUAAAAGAAAAACUACACAAAUGGUUUACAGUUUUAAUCACAAAUCUCAAUUUUUUUUUCUUUAGAUUCUUAAAAUAGAUGCAUUAAUUAAAACAAAAUCACUACGAAGAGGCACAUGGUGUUUAGUGGAUGACAUUAAUUCUGUAACCCAAACAAGGAGACUAAUCCACUCUGAGUAGCUAAAUUAUUUUUUGCACUAUUUACAUACUUUACUGAAGUAUUUUCAUCCCAGAGCCUCAGAAAGCAUCUUAGAAUGUUAAUAAGGGAAGCCUGGCAGCAUGCCAGAGUUAACAAGUAAGAAAGUAACAUCAUUCCCAUUUUAUCCACAGGGAAACUGAGGCACCAGGCGUAUUCAGACCCAGGAAACUGCAGAAAGAAAAAUCCUGAAUCUUAAUUCUGUUAGCUGCGUUAUGAUGAAAAGACUGUUCUUCCUCCUUGUUAUGUGGCUGGUGACCCUGCUGGGCACUGUUUGAAACCUGGUCAGUUGCUUUUAUUCAUGUUUAGAUUGCUGCAAACUAGGUGACAUCUAUCCAGCUGUGUUGUCAUCACAAACACCUUUACUAAAAGAAAAGCCAUUAAUGGUUUUCCUUGUUAGAUCAAAAACCAGCAACAACAAAAAGUGCAUCUUCAAUCCCUCCAAAGCCUUUGGAAGGCUGUCUUGUUCUACCCAAAAUACUGCAAUUGUUCCCUCCAUCUGCACAGUAACAAAUACUGAAAACCAGUAACUCUGAAAGACAGAAUUGCACUAUUUAUCAUUUAAAAAAAAAGAAGUUAAAUUUUUGGGCAUUGUGAACAUUCUUUGGUCAAUCAAGUAUUUGAAAGAAGUUAGUUAAGAGAUUCUCAGCCAGGAUGUAACCUUUAGAAAACAUGAAGUGUUUCACAUGGUCCAUAAUCCCCAGGCUUUUACUUCCUAUGACAGCAAAAUAUUCUACCACAUCAAUAAAGGUCACUUGAAAAGACCUUUAAAAAUAACUUGUCAAUAAUGUUUGCUGAACGACUAAAGGAAAUAAAAACUUGUUGCAGAUCUGAGAUGACAUGAAUUCACAAGUUAAGGAAAACCUAAAAAGCCAGGACUUAAAACUCUGGAUAGAAGCAUCCAGCACAAAUCCAGCAAAUUUUAAGGCUAUUAUGGAGUGUGCAUCAUUUAGUCACAGGCAUCUCAUUGUUUACUUUUUGGCAAAUACUACAUCUUCAUGUGGGAAUAAAGUCAUGGACUGUUGCUGUCUCACAGCAGCAGGAGCAGGCCAGGCAGCAGGGGACAGGACAGCUGGGAGCACAGGUGGCCCAGGACCCUGGGGCACAACAAAACCACUCUUGUCCAUGGUGUCCACUGAGAUUCUGGCCAGCACCAGUUGCCUGGAAGGUGUCUGACCCCAGAAGCAGCACCCCCAACUCAGCACUGGAAAAAGGCUUUAUAAAUGCUACAGCACCCUAAAAUAAGCAAAUAGGGCCUCACUUUCUUCAGGGAGGUAGAUGAGCAUAAAUGUGCUGCUUCUGUGGUUACUGGGGCACCCUCUGCCCUGGCAUCUGGCCUGGCUGAGAAACCAGUCCAAUAAAUUUCCCCUUGUGGACCUGACCCAAAAGUGGCAAACCUCCCUCUGCAGCACAAUCACAAAUACAGCACAGUGAUUUAGGCAACUUUCUUUGUUUUCAGCCUCAAAACGCUUUUGGACUCUUCCCAAUUUAUUUUCCUUGAUUAUUGAUGGUACCUUCCAGGGACUCCCAAGAGACAAAUUCCUUGCUGGCCGAGGAAAGACUGCACUAUGGUUUUAUUUAGCAAUAUGUCCUGGAAGCAGUGCUGGCUCUGGAAGCUUUUGGGGGACUUCCCUCCUGUGUUUUCACAGAGCUCACCUAUAUCCUUAGAGGCUUUCAGUGGUACAUCAGUCCCACUGCAUUCAGGAGCUUCCAAAAACCUGGGGUAUCUGAGUUUGGGGUGUGCAUUCAGACUGCAGAAAAGCCUCAAAUACCAAUGGGCAAAGCAGCAGCAGUUUGAACACAAACAGGGAUCCUGUGCUUAAAGGAGCUUUGUCAUCACCCACACAGACGGUGGAGAAACACCUCACUUCCCUGGCCUGAAACAGUCUCUGUGGGAAUGAAGAACCUGCCAGGACCUCCUCUCCCAUAUGUCCCAGACAUGUCAUCUGUGUUCUGCAAGAUUACACACUUCCCCUAUACCACCUGACAGAGAAGGACAUAUAGGCUAAAUAUAUAAACAGUUUUUAAGCAAAUGUAAAUAAAUAUCCAGGUGCAAAGUGCCUUAGGUUAUCUACCACCAUCUCCCAUGUUCCUACAACACAUUCUGGUUCAAGGCAGGAGGCAUUUGAAGGCUACUCAAAAAACGUCAAGGCUGAAGCUUCAGGAGAGUUAUCAGCGCAGUACCAGGCUGAUAAGUAUAGAGUGCCACAUAUAAAUACAGAAACACACACAUUUAAAUUAUAUAUAUUAGUUUUAUCUAGAUUUAUAUGUACAUGUAUAAAUUAAAUAUACAUAUGUGUUUGUAUGUACAGACACACAUGCAUGAAUGUCAAUAGUCCCUCAGAUGAGACACCUAAUCCAAAUCUCUGAAAGCAUACAACAGUUAUUUGGAAAUUCUUAAGUAUAAACAAUGUAUUCUGAUUGGAGUUUUCAUAAAUAUGCAUUAAAAUUCUCCAUGGUAGUCACCCUUGUGGGAAUAAUAAUACAGUUCCAUUAGUUGCAAACUAUAAAUAUAGGCUUUAAAAAAUAAUUUAAAAAAAAAAUUAUUUGAAGAGCAGGUAUAGCCAGAGUAAGUAACUUCCAGGACAAGCGGAAGGGAUCAGAACAGAAAACCAGACCUGAGCAUGGGUUCCCUAACAAAAGUAAGUGCAUAGGACCUCUCCAGCCCUCUCUGCUGCCCAGAAGGCCCUUUUAGAAACUUUUUGUAAUUGUGAUGGGAGACAAUUUGGUAACAGACAGAAAAAGGUCAUGUUGCAAAAUCCAACAAAACCUCUCAAAGCUGGGGACAGUGUGUUACAUAUCUCCUCCCUAGGACAUGAGGGCAGUCUUUUCAGUCCAUCUACAUGUUUUUUUUCUACUCAAAGUUUCUAAAUAUGCUCUUAAGAUUACUUUAUAAAAAUACACAAUAAGCCAAUACACACAAUACCAUGUUUUGUUUCAGUUAGAUUAAAAUCAAGAAUGACACCAAAAUAUCUUCAACUAAAAGAGAGUUUCCAACUACAAACAUGAGGAUGGGUCAUGUGUCUUGAGGUAUCAGUUACUAUCCUAUCUUUUCCAUAAAACACAUUCCUAUGGUACCAUGAUGAAUUGCCUCAGUAGUACUGAGUACUGCUCCCCCCGGAUCGGGGCAGAUGUGUCAGCAGCAGUGGAAGGUUUGGUGUAGAAGAAACAUAAGAAAAUUCAGGGUAGAGAUGUAACUGGUGUAGAGGCAGCCUAUCCAGGCUUGCAAGAACCACAAAAUUUAGGAAGAAUAUGAACUUGCACUUAUUUGUUACAGCAUACCCUGUCUUAUCAAGGUCUCUUUUCUCAUCCAUUACUUAGAUCUUAAUCCUGUGCAGCUUCAAGUAUCUUAAAGCUCCUCCUCAGGGUUCUCUCUUGGUUAAAACCAUUAGCUUUCAAUGAACCAGACUGAUCAACAGUAUGAUUUAAAAAAAACUCCUGGAGCCUGAAUGUCAACACAUAGCUAGACUCAGAGAAUAGAAAAAAUAAAAACAAAACCAAAACACACUACAGAGGAGUUCCAGGAUUCUAGCAUGGACAAUAUCAGGAGUUUCUUAAAGAAGCAUUUGAUUUUUCUUUUGUGCAAUCAGCAUUGUACAUGACAGAAGCAGUGCAUAAUCAUUCAAAGUGCUCACUUCAAUGUGACAUCAUAAAAUGACUCUGCAUAGCCCAUUAACUUUGUUGGUAGACCAAUUCUCCAGAAACAUUCUAAUCCCAUCAAACUUCCUGAACAUCAAAGGUAUAUUUUAGAGAAUCAUUAGGGUUGGAAAAAAACUCCAAGAUCAUUGAGUCCAACUUUUGUCCAAACCUCAUCCUAUCCAGAUCCAAACCGCAGCUCUAAGUGCCAUGUCCAGCAAUUUCUUGAACACUUCCACGGAUGGUGACUCCACCACCUCCCUGGGCACUCUGUUCCAAUACUAGACAACACUUUCAGUGAAGAAAUUCUUCAUCAUGUCCAACCUGAAUCUCCCCUGGAGCAGCCUGAGGCUCUGUCCUCUCAUCCUGUCACUGGUUGCCUGGGAGAAGAGUACAACCCUCACCUCAUUACAACCCUCCUUUCAGGUGGCUGUAGAGAGCAAUAAGGCCUCCUCAAGCCUCCUUUCCUCCAGGCUAAACACCCCCAGCUCUCUCAGCUGCUUCUCACAGGACUUGUGCUCCAGAUCCUUCA